This is a long non-coding RNA of Folsomia candida, 2065 nucleotides long. RefSeq lists it as uncharacterized. The record is from RefSeq and is a predicted model, not a curated record. Lineage: Eukaryota; Metazoa; Arthropoda; Collembola; Entomobryomorpha; Isotomidae. The transcript is spliced from 2 exons.
CUAGUCCAUUUCAUUCGAUUUUGUUUUAUUUAUUUAAUAUCGUCUUCAUUUUGACUUCAAGUUUUCAGUUCAAGUGAUAAAAAAAUUAAUCAGUUUUUAGAGACGAAGACUACUUUAAAUUAAACGUCUCUCGUUAUACUACGAGCAAUGCUUUCGCAAUAAGUUCUGCACUGUUGAUUUGGAUUGCACAAUGGCAAAAAUAUCUGUUAAAACUAAAAUAGCUAAUCCAUUUACUCUCCUUCACUCGGCCAUAAAUUUGCUGUAUCACUCAUUCAUUCAUCACUAAAGUUAAGCAUUUAGAUUUGCUCAAUAACACGAAAACAAUCCAUCUCGUGUUAUUUUACGAGUCUGAUUUGUUUGUAUAAAGUAUGUUGCGAGGCGUCAAUUGCCACUUUUUCAAUUUUGUAUGUACGUAUCUGUGCCUGCCUGCCUGCGAAUUGUCAAGCUUCUUGAGGUUAACUCGAUAUAAAAAAUUGACAGACAAUUGACAUCCCAUCGACUAAAAAUAAUAAAAAACGCCUUGAAAUUUAGGUGUUUUCCGCCCUAUUCAGCUUGCGUUUAAUAAUGAACGGGUGAGCAAUCUGUUUUUUGCGAGGACAGGAAAGGAACUCGUCGUAAUGUAAAUAAUAAUAAUAAAAUGAGACGACAGAAGCUAGUUAAUAAUUUUUUGGGUGUGAUUUAGCAGAGAGAGUGACAUUCAUCUCGAUCGUUAUGAACAAUUUGUUUGCGACCCUUGUUGUUGUUGCUCAAUGGGACGUGCCAUAUUAAUGGUGAGAGUUCGAGGUUAAUUGAAAUAGUGGAGGUUAGGUUGUGGUUAAAAAUGUGGUGGAAGUACAAUUUUUGCGGCAUAAAGAGUCACAUAAAGACAUGCAUAAUUUGUCGUAAAUUUGUAUUUACAUACAUACAUUUUCAAAAAAUGUGUAGUGUUUAUACUAACACAGGAUCAAAUUUUGUCGCAAUUUGCAGAUUUUUGGUGGAAGUAUGUACACACGACAAUUUUUGCCAUAUAAAGACAUUCAUAAGCUUUCGUAAACUUGAAUUUACAGAUACAUACAUUUUCCAAAUUCUUGUACAGUCUACAUUAACACGGAUCAAAUUUUGUCGUAAUUUGCACAUUUUUGAAAUGACAUCACACAACCAACUUUACUACUAUACUUCAGCCAUAAACAUAAUCAAUCUCAUCCUGAAAUGAAACACGACCUCCCAUCAAAUGUCAAGUAGACGAUUUGUUUUUUUAUUUCUAUUUUUUGCCCUUGAUGGUCACUAGACUUUGAUGCUUUUGCAUGAUGCUCAUCUUCUUAAGCUACACACACAUGUUAAAGAUUGAACUUUGAUAACGUAUAAUUAAUGACUGUUUGAAUUUGCAAAAGUCCUGACUUGGCUUGACUCCUGUCAAUGUCACCGCUCUCCAAUGUGUAAUUAAUUUGGAGGAGAUCACGAACUCUUUUUUGGUGGUGAAGUUGCUUUUAAAUAAACAUGAACCAUACAUUUUAACCUUUUAUUAACCCUUCAAUUUGUGAGGUUAGUUUGGAAAAGGUGAAGAAGGUGAAGAUGAAGAUGGUGAGACUGCAUUCUUGAGAUAAGAUCCACUUCAUUUUCCGUCUACUACUCUUCAUGGAGGGGAGUGGAGUUGGUUGGUAUCUUAAAGAUUGAUUUAACUAAGCUGGGUAAUGUGAUUUGAUUGUAUGCAAAUUCAAUUUAAUGCCCUCAGUUGAACGAGCCGUGCAUAUGCCCACAAAACUAGCCGGGUAGUAGUUCAGGUAAAUGGAACUUCUCAAGGCAAACUGGUCCAAAAUUUGAAAACCAUUUCCACUUCAUGUACGUAUGUAAAGGUGUACCGUGUACGUAAUUACUUUUUAGUUGUUAAUUAUUACGUAAGUAAAAGGGUAGAUAAGGUUAAGGGUCGAGUUUCCUUUGAAAAUUGAAAUGUAAAAAUUAGUCGAACUUGUUAUUUGAGAUGUUUACCAGUAGUUUUAUUAUGCAAAAUGGAAUUGAAUAAGUGAUUAUAGGUUGUCAAAAGAGGAGUUUGAUCAAAUCAAAUUUUAAUAAAAAUGUUGCAAAGUAA